Non-coding RNA from Acanthosepion pharaonis, 112 nucleotides. Lineage: Eukaryota; Metazoa; Mollusca; Cephalopoda; Sepiida; Sepiidae. The record is from the annotation of a GenBank genome assembly.
ACAGCCACAUCAUGUUGAAACAUUGGUUCCCAUAUAAUCACUGAAGUUAAGCAAUAUUGAACCCAAUCAGUACCUAAAUGGGUGACCACUUAGGAAUAACAGGUGCUGUAAG